AGGUGGUGGAAGGGGAACAGGUGGACCCAGUGGGCCAGUAGCCCCUUACUGGGGGCCAGGACAUUAGGGGAGCCUAGAGAAUCCUAGAGAGGGAGUCCAGUCUCCAGAAAUAUCUAGGGAAGCUGGUGAGGAACCAAUGCUGCAGGUUAAAUUACAAGAUGAGGUAGUCAAUAUGAUGGUAGACACUGGAGCAACCUAUACAUGUGGCAGCCAAUAGACGAAAUUGCCCGGAAAACAUGCUAAGAUGGUAGGAUUCUCAGGACAAGUGCAGCUAAUACUAUUUAUGACUCUGGUGACCAUCGCUGUAGAUAAUUCCACUGUAUAUAUAUGCCUAUUUUGGUGUCUGAGCACACAUACCGUAAUUUCCGGACUAUGAGCCGCUACUUUUUUCCCACGCUUUGAACCUCGCAGCUUAAACAAUGACGCGGCUAAUUUAUGGAUUAUGAUACCUGUGACUGUAUACGGUGGCUUUGUGUUUAUGGUGGCUUGGUGGAGCCAGGAUGCUAGCAUGGAUGCAGCCGCAUGGAUGCUUAACUCCACGCGAUUUCUCAGUAUCUCUCAAUAACUUAACUAAUGUCAAAAUAACCACAGUCUACCGUCGUAGACAGAACACAACUCAAAACACUUUAGAAAAUAAAAUAAAAGUUUACAACAAUACAAAUCCAGUCUUUUCAAGUUCUUUAGCUCACUGGUUUCAAACUAGCGUCUUUCUUCUAUCUCGCUGUCUUCAAUCUAACGUUCUACCUGAACAGGAAGAACUACCUUAUUUCUGAUUGACUCUUGCAACUGUCCUCUCCUAAAGCAACAGUGCACUUAUCGUAACUGGCAAAACUAAUAAUAUGCAUCACUAUUGUAUUACUUUUGAUAUUCAUUUUAUCCUGUGUAAAGUUCAUUUGUUUCAAUGUACCUGCGGCUUAUAGACAUGUGUGGCUUAUUUAUGUUCAAAAUAAAAAAAAUUUUAAAUUCAGUGGGUGCGGCUUAUAUUCAGGUGCGCUCAAUAGUCUGGAAAUUACGCUACUGUAUGUAAAGCUGUGCAAAUUUGCAAAUUCACUGUACUGGCCUCACUGAGCUCCUUGUCCAGUUAUCCAGUUAGUUAAACACCACCACACACAACAAGCUUUGUUACCGAGGGUGAAGUUUAUCACGUGUAAUGGUUGUGUAUAUAGCCAAGAAUCACCUUGCUGUCUGUGUAGAAGCUGAUAGUCAAAUGUAUGAUCGAUCUCUUCGCUUAUUACUUCUGCGAUUUCUGGUGUCUGAGCACACAUAUGUAAAUCUGUGCAAAUUUGUUAAGAAGAAAUGCGCUGUGAAACCUGAAUUUACAUAAUGAAUUACCUGAAUAAUCGCACAGCGAACAGAUUGUAUAUAGAUGCAUUGGGAAUCCAGAUGCCCAUAAUACCCAUAACCCAGCUACAACAAGCGUACUGGAUAGGGGAUUUAGGGAAGGACUGAGUAUAAGAUUCGGCAAUUCAACACAGAGCCUUAAUUGAGAAGCCCUCUCAGCCCACUCGCCCCCCAAGAUGUCUGCUGCAUUGUAGAAUAGGGGACAGAGAUGAUACAAAAAUACUUUGAUAUGCAGUGGAACAGUGCCAUGUGUGGCACUAUGGGUCACUGAAGGCUACAGAACUCAACACCUAGGCCCAAUGAUAAGAGAAGCGUUUGAACAGGGAUGGGUGACAACACAAAAUUAAAUGUAUUACCUGUAUUGUCUCUAUGGGAUAGUGGGUGGAGGAGGAUAUAGGUGCUGGGAGAGGAAGGACCACAAACCACUGAGUGAUCAGGAAAUCAGGGACAUACAGGCUGGAAAACAGAAAAUGAAGGGGGAGCAUAUGAUGAUCGAGUAUCUGUAUGAUCAGAUGCUAAGGGAAGUUCCAGAACAUGUAUGGUACAAAGGGGAUGGAGAGUGGCGGAUAUGGCGGAUGGAAAAAGUUGGAGAUAGACCUGACAGGAAUGGUAUAUAAGCGGGGAGGGGGCUUUUCAGGGUAGAGAUCAAAUCAAAUUCGAGACCAAAUCUGGAGAAUGCACAAUGCCACCCCAACUGCGGUAAGGGUACAGGGAACAAACACUUCAUCAUCUUAAUCACUGUCACAAAGCUUCUCCACUCAGACAGGAUGGGAGACCCCGGAGACUGGCAAAAGCCUGGAUAACCCAGAACGAGUGGAGGGGAAAAAGGGGCAGCCACGGCAGAGUGAAAGGAACAGGGGACUCGCCCCACAUGCAAGAAUUCUUUACCAGAAUUCUUCACUUUGUGAAGUGAUUAAUCUAAUCACCAAAAUAAGGCUGCUAAUGAAGUAUACAGAAGGAAUAAGGAUUAUGAGGUUUAUGUGUACACUUUUUUUGUGUGUCCUUUGAAUGUGUAAACUACUGAUUAAUGAAUUAAGGGCUAUAAGCUCUAUGGUCCAGAAGAUGAUCAUAUGUGAAUGACGAAGGAUGAGACCUGAGACCUGGGCUGGUUUAGGGAUCUGUGUAGGCAACACCUGGAAGGAUGUUUGGGAAAGCCACGGGUCUCUGAGCAGCUGACCUAAGAGCUGUUGUUAUCGGUGAGGCAUUCAGGUUCUGUGGUGAACCACUUGAAGAGGCUGGGAAGAACACCCUGCCCAUGAUAUUUUCUGUGUGGCAUCCUGGACUCAGACAUCAUGAAUCAACCCUCACCUCCAAGCAUCUUCUUGUUUUGCAUACUUAUUUAUGGGGCUGAAGCGAACAGAUGAAAUUCAGCACUGCUCUAUGGUAGUGUCAAUGAUUAUGUGGCUUUAUUUGUGCAAAUAAAGCUUGAUAUCAAACUAUAAAACUGUUUUGUUCCUUAUCGGUGUGUCUCCACAGCAUGGGCGGUUUGUCCAUAAGGGCGAUUUGGGCGGCGCACUGCCAAACGGGAAAAGUGGACAAAAAGGUAUUGCUGUAUGAGUUAAUCAGCUAACACCAAAUUGAUACAAUUGUCUUGCUAAAUGUACCUACUGAAUGGGUCGCCCUAAUCAUUAUCAAAAAAAUUGCCCCCCCUGAGAAUUGGUUCAGGAGCCGCCACUGCUCCACAGGCUCUUUGUCAGCUGACAGACCAUCCAUUUAUAUUGAUAUCUGUCAUUACAAUAUAUGGUGAGAGUUGCCACACUUUCCCAUGGACUGAACUUUCAGAAACAACGGGAUAGCUAUCUUCACAAGAAAACAUCUUUGGUGGAAAAUCAUCUGUGAAAAUACCUAAAAAACUUAAAAUCUCAAUCAAAACAAAUCAAAACGCACUCACACACACCACUUUCCACAUCACAUAUUUACAACUUGUUUUUUUAACACUACGAACCAAGCCUAUCUUAUCCUUAAAUCAGUAAUCUAUCCUCCAUGAGUCUAUGAGUCCAUCUGUAAAUGUCGUUUGAGUAAACAGCUCCCGUUCCAAAGAAGUUAUUUGAGCCAGGCAUAAUGCCAAUAGUCUUGGCCUCAGCUGGACAUUUGGUAUUCACAAUCGCCCACACCUAUUUGAUCACAGCAAGCAACCGUCACAGAUAACUAAUUUCAAAGGAA
Clupea harengus (Atlantic herring) is the source of this 3504-nucleotide long non-coding RNA. The record is from Ensembl. NCBI's taxonomy places the organism in Eukaryota, Metazoa, Chordata, Actinopteri, Clupeiformes, Clupeidae.